Molecule: transfer RNA, 77 nt
Filed under: Cenarchaeum symbiont of Oopsacas minuta
Lineage: Archaea; Thermoproteati; Nitrososphaerota; Candidatus Cenarchaeales; Candidatus Cenarchaeaceae
Description: tRNA-Gly
Rfam family: tRNA
About the family: Transfer RNA (tRNA) molecules are approximately 80 nucleotides in length.
Source: RNAcentral
GCAGUUGUAGUAUAGUUUGGUUAUUAUUCCAGCUUGCCAAGUUGGUGACCCGGGUUCGAAUCCCGGCAACUGCACCA